This 270-nucleotide ribosomal RNA is filed under the name uncultured archaeon. RNAcentral describes it as "partial 16S ribosomal RNA". It matches the Rfam family "Archaeal small subunit ribosomal RNA", at positions 477 to 747 of the family's 1478-position model. The record is from RNAcentral.
CAGCACCUCAAGUGGUCAGGAUGAUUAUUGGGCCUAAAGCAUCCGUAGCCGGCUCUGUAAGUUUUCGGUUAAAUCUGUACGCUCAACGUACAGGCUGCCGGGAAUACUGCAGAGCUAGGGAGUGGGAGAGGUAGACGGUACUCGGUAGGAAGGGGUAAAAUCCUUUGAUCUAUUAAUGACCACCUGUGGCGAAGGCGGUCUACCAGAACACGUCCGACGGUGAGGGAUGAAAGCUGGGGGAGCAAACCGGAUUAGAUACCCGAGUAGUCC